AAUAACGUGCAACAAAUAUAUUGUAAAUUGGUCAGGAUUGGAAAAUAGCAGCCAUAUCAAUCACUAUUUGUGUGCACUUUUUUUAU
This 86-nucleotide signal recognition particle RNA is filed under the name Bacillota bacterium. RNAcentral describes it as "signal recognition particle sRNA small type". It matches the Rfam family "Bacterial small signal recognition particle RNA". Rfam says of the family: The signal recognition particle (SRP) is a universally conserved ribonucleoprotein involved in the co-translational targeting of proteins to membranes. Archaeal SRP consists of a 7S RNA and homologues of the eukaryotic SRP19 and SRP54 proteins. In most bacteria, the SRP consists of a 4.5S RNA and the Ffh protein (a homologue of the eukaryotic SRP54 protein). Lineage: Bacteria; Bacillati; Bacillota. The record is from RNAcentral.